GCCAAAUGUUUGGACACACCUUCUCAUUCAAUGCGUUUUCUUUAUUUUCAGGACUAUUUACAUUGUAGAUUGUCACUGUGAAUGUGGAUUAUAUUUAUAUAGCGCUUUUCUCUAGUGACUCAAAGCGCUUUACAUAGAGAAACCCAAUAUCUAAGUUACAUUUAAGCGUUGACCGGUCCGCGGAUACAAAAAGUACAAAAAGGUUGGGGACCACUGCAGUAGUGUACACAGAGUUAAAAGGUGCUGUCCACGCAUGUGGCCAACUAAGUGAUGUGAAGUGAAUCAUAUUUAUAUAGCGCUUUUCUCUAGUGACUCAAAGCGCUUUACAUAGUGACACCCAAUAUCUAAGUUACAUUUAAGCGUUGACCGGUCCGCGGAUAAAAAAAGUACAAAAAGGGUUGGGGACCACUACAGUAGUGUACACAGAGUUAAAAGGUGCUGUCCACGCAUGUGGCCAACUAAGUGAUGUGAAGUGAAUCAUAUUUAUAUAGCGCUUUUCUCUAGUGACUCAAAGCGCUUUACAUAGUGACACCCAAUAUCUAAGUUACAUUUAAGCGUUGACCGGUCCGCGGAUACAAAAAGUACAAAAAGGUUGCGGACCACUGCAGUAGUGUACACAAUUUUGGAAUUAAGAGUUAAAAGGUGCUGUCCACGCAUGUGGCCAACUAAGUGAUGUGAAGUGAAUCAUAUUUAUAUAGCGCUUUUCUCUAGUGACUCAAAGCGCUUUACAUAGAGAAACCCAAUAUCUAAGUUACAUUUAAGCGUUGACCGGUCCACGGAUACAAAAAGUACAAAAAGGUUGGAGACCACUGCAGUAGUGUACACAAUUUUGGAAUUAAGAGUUAAAAGGUGCUGUCCACGCAUGUGGCCAACUAAGUGAAGUGAAGUGAAUCAUUUAUAUAGCGCUUUUCUCUAGUGACUCAAAGCGCUUUACAUAGAGAAACCCAAUAUCUAAGUUACAUUUAAGCGUUGACCGGUCCGCGGAUACAAAAAGUACAAAAAGGUUGGGGACCACUGCAGUCGUGUACACAAUUUUGGAAUUAAGAGUUAAAAGGUGCUGUCCACGCAUGUGGCCAACUAAGUGAAGUGAAGUGAAUCAUAUUUAUAUAGCGCUUUUCUCUAGCGACUCAAAGCGCUUUACAUAGUGAAACCCAAUAUCUAAGUUACAUUUAAGCGUUGACCGGUCCGCGGAUACAAAAAGUACAAAAAGGUUGGGGACCACUGCAGUAGUGUACACAAUUUUGGAAUUAAGAGUUAAAAGGUGCUGUCCACGCAUGUGGCCAACUAAGUGAUGUGAAGUGAAUCAUAUUUAUAUAGCGCUUUUUUCUAGUGACUCAAAGCGCUUAACAUAGUGAAACCCAAUAUCUAAGUUACAUUUAAGCGUUGACCGGUCCGCGGAUACAAAAAGGUUGGGGACCACUGCAGUAGUGUACACAAUUUUGGAAUUAAGAGUUAAAAGGCGCUGUCCACGCAUGUGGCCAACUAAGUGAAGUGAAGUGAAUCAUAUUUAUAUAGCGCUUUUCUCUAGUGACUCAAAGCACUUAACAUAGAGAAACCCAAUAUCUAAGUUACAUUUAAGCGUUGACCGGUCCGCGGAUACAAAAAGUACAAAAAGGUUGGCGACCACUGUAGUAGUGUACACAAUUUUGGAAUCAAGAGUUAAAAGGUGCUGUCCACGCAUGUGGCCAACUAAGUGAUGUGAAGUGAAUCAUAUUUAUAUAGCGCUUUUCUCUAGUGACUCAAAGCCCUUUACAUAGAGAAACCCAAUAUCUAAGUUACAUUUGAGCGUUGACCGGUCCGUGGAUACAAAAAGUACAAAAAGGUUGGAGACCACUGUAGUAGUGUACACAAUUUUGGAAUUAAGAGUUAAAAGGUGCUGUCCACGCUUGUGGCCAACUAAGUGAAGUGAAGUGAAUCAUAUUUAUAUAGCGCUUUUCUCUAGUGACUCAAAGCGCUUUACAUAGAGAAACCCAAUAUCUAAGUUACAUUUAAGCGUUGACCGGUCCGCGGGUACAAAAAGUACAAAAAGGUUGGGGACCACUGCAGUCGUGUACACAAUUUUGGAAUUAAGAGUUCAAAGGUGCUGUCCACGCAUGUGGCCAACUAAGUGAUGUGAAGUGAAUCAUAUUUAUAUAGCGCUUUUCUCUAGUGACUCAAAGCCCUUUACAUAGAGAAACCCAAUAUCUAAGUUACAUUUAAGCGUUGACCGGUCCGCGGAUACAAAAAGUACAAAAAGGUUGGGGACCACUGCAGUAGUGUACACAAUUUUGGGAUUAAGAGUUAAAAAGGUGCUGUCCACGCAUGUGGCCAACUAAGUGAAGUGAAUCAUAUUUAUAUAGCGCUUUUCUCUAGUGACUCAAAGCGCUUUACAUAGAGAAACCCAAUAUCUAAGUUACAUUUAAGAGUUGACCGGUCCGCGGAUACAAAAAGUACAAAAAGGUUGGGGACCACUGCAGUAGUGUACACAAUUUUGGAAUUAAGAGUUAAAAGGUGCUGUCCACGCAUGUGGCCAACUAAGUGAUGUGAAGUGAAUCAUAUUUAUAUAGCGCUUUUCUCUAGUAACUCAAAGCGCUUUACAUAGAGAAACCCAAUAUCUAAGUUACAUUUAAGCGUUGACCGGUCCGCGGACACAAAAAGUACAAAAAGGUUGGGGACCACUGCAGUAGUGUACACAAUUUUGGAAUUAAGAGUUAAAAGGUGCUGUCCACGCAUGUGGCCAACUAAGUGAAGUGAAGUGAAUCAUAUUUAUAUAGCGCUUUUCUCUAGUGACUCAAAGCGCUUGACAUAGAGAAACCCAAUAUCUAAGUUACAUUUAAGCGUUGACCAGUCCGCGGAUACAAAAAGUACAAAAAGGUUGGGGACCACUGCAGUAGUGUACACAAUUUUGGAAUUAAGAGUUAAAAGGGGCUGUCCACGCAUGUGGCCAACUAAGUGAAGUGAAUCAUAUUUAUAUAGCGCUUUUCUCUAGUGACUCAAAGCGCUUUACAUAGAGAAACCCAAUAUCUAAGUUACAUUUGAGCGUUGACCGGUCCGCGGAUACAAAAAGUACAAAAAGGUUGGGGACCACUGCAGUAGUGUACACAAUUUUGGAAUUAAGAGAUAAAAUGUGCUGUCCACGCAUGUGGCCAACUAAGUGAUGUGAAGUGAAUCAUAUUUAUAUAGCGCUUUUCUCUAGUGACUCAAAGCGCUUAACAUAGUGACACCCAAUAUCUAAGUUACAUUUGAGCGUUGACCGGUCCGCGGGUACAAAAAGUACAAAAAGGUUGGGGACCACUACAGUCGUGUACACAAUUUUGGAAUUAAGAGUUAAAAGGUGCUGUCCACGCAUGUGGCCAACUAAGUGAAGUGAAGUGAAUCAUAUUUAUAUAGCGCUUUUCUCUAGUGACUCAAAGCGCUUUACAUCGAGAAACCCAAUAUCUAAGUUACAUUUAAGCGUUGACCGGUCCGCGGAUACAAAAAGUACAAAAAGGUUGGGGACCACUGCAGUAGUGUACACAAUUUUGGAAUUAAGAGUUAAAAGGUGCUGUCCACGCAUGUGGCCAACUAAGUGAAGUGAAUCAUAUUUAUAUAGCGCUUUUCUCUAGUGACUUUACAUCGUGAAACCCAAUAUCUAAGUUACAUUUAAACCAGUGUGGGUGGCACUGGGAGCAGGUGGGUAAAGUGUCUUGCCCAAGGACACAACGGCAGUGACUAGGAUGGCGGAAGCGGGACUCGAACCUGCAACCCUCAAGUUGAUGGCACGGCCGCUCUACCAACCAAGCUAUCAAAGGCAUCAAAACUAUGAAUGAAGAUAUGUAGACUUAUGUACCGUAUUUUCCGCACUAUAAGGCGCACCCGAUUAUAAGGCGCACUUUCAAUGAAUUGUUCAUUUUGUUGACGAAAAAUUUUCCUCAUAGUUAACGUCUUUUUUUUUCUGACUAAAACGAGACGAUAAUUAAAUAAAAAAUUAUUUACGUGGGCUAAGACGAUGACGAGGUGUAUCGACAUAUUCGUGAACGAAUAAAAACGAGACGAAAAUGUCUGCCGGAGACGAGAUCCAAUCGGAACUCAUUUCGAUAGGAAGUCGGGAAGAGAACCAAUCAGAGCGACGCGGUAAGGAAGUCACGUUAACGUAGUUUGCGUUUGAGACUGAAGAAGACAAAAUGUCAACGCCGGGGAGGAAGAGGAGAGAGGACUUAUGGGGAAAUUUUCUAUUUGACGUCAAAGAUAAGAAGACGCAGUGUAAGAAAUGCAGCGCGGGAAUUACGGGGAAAAACACAACAAACUUAAAGCGACUUUUCCAGUCCAAUCACCCCGAAAUCCACACACAGGUCAGCAUUUUCCACAACUCACUCGACGUUAUCCCGUUUAUUACACGGCUUACUCGUGAAAUACUACAUUUGAGACAUGAUUUUCAUCAAAAUACGACUUGUGUCUGUGAUUUUUCCGCUGUUUUGCUUUGACUUUCAGAAAUUGAAGGGAAAGUUUACAUAUUACCCUUUAGUCGACUAAAUCUACUGUAGUUUUCGUCGACUAUAAUCUUAUGAUAUUUCGUCAACUAAAACUAGACUAAAACUAAAACAAUUUAAGUAACUAAAUUAUGACUAAAACUAAAUUACAUUUUAGUCAAAAGACUAUGACUAAAACUCAAUCAAAUUUUGCUGUCAAAAUUAACACUGAAGUGAAGUGAAUUACAUUUAUAUAGCGCUUUUCUCUAGGGACUUAAAGCCAUACUUGCCAACCCUCCCGGAUUUUCCGGGAGACUCCCGAAAUUCAGCGCCUCUCCCGAAAACCUCCCGUAAGAAAUUUUCUCCCGAAAAUCUCCCGAAAUUCAGCUGGAGCUGGAGGGGGCGUGGCCUCCAGCUCCGGCUUUUAAAUAGACAUGAGUGGGGACAGCCUGUUUUCACGUCCGCUUUCCUGUUAUAUAAACAGCUUGCCUGCCCAAUCACGUUACAACAUCUACAGAUUUUAAUAAAAAUUAAAGCUGCAGGCAGUGUUGGUCGGGUCCGCCUUUGGCCGCUGCCACGCCCUGGUCUAAGUCAGACCUACAUAGAAGUCUUUGUUUCAUGUCUCUACGACAUUCCUAACAGAAGUUACAAGCAGUUUUCUCUGUUUUUUUUCCCUAGGGGGCGCUAGAGCGCAAUUUUGACUUUUCGGGUUUGGUUUUUUAUUAGAUGGCAAUUUUCACCAGUCUUGAUGUGUGUGUAAAAUUUGGUGAGUUUUGAAGCAUGUUAAGGGGGUCAAAUUACAGAUCGGCGUUUCUGGAUGUUGUUGAUAAAUGGCUUUCGCUUUGCAUAGUACAGCUUUAACUUGCACUUUGAAGCAUUUUAAGGGGGUCAAAUUACAGCUCAAAGAGGCAAAAAUGACAUUUUUUAGGAAACUUUGCGCAGGGGUUCUUUGAAGGCGCGUAAAAUCAAAACCGGAGCAGUAAUCAAAACAUUGUUGGAUAGUUUUAAUCAAAAGGGUUCAAUCUCUCUCCUGUGCGAGUUUGAAGCCGAAACGACAAACGCACUCGGAGGAGUUUACGUUUGAAAAAGGUGACGGGUUUUUACCAAACUUUUAUUUUGAAGGGGUCAUUUUUAACUUCCUGUUGAUUUUUGCCGAAGGAUGUCAAUCAUCUAAAUGUAGGUCUAAGUGAGACCUACAUAAAAGUUUUUGUUUCAUGUCUUUCCGGCAUUCCCACCGGAAGUUACAAGCAGUUUUGUCCGUGUUUUCUUCCUCGAAGCAGUUUUUGCUAUGUUUUGAUCAAAAAUUGCGCAAGAGCGCAAUUUUGAGUUUUUUUUUUUUUUUUUCAUUAGAUUGCAAUUUCUGCCAGUCCUGAUGUGUGUGCCAAGUUUGGUGAGUUUCGAAGCAUUUUAAGGGGGUCAAAUUUCAGCUCAAAGAGGCAAAAAUUGAAUUUUUUGCGAAAAUUUAGUUUUGAAUGUUUUUUUUCCAACUUCCUGUUGAUUUUUGCCCUAGAAGGUAGUAUUAUGAAAUGUAGGUCUAAGUUAGACCUACGUGACAGUUUUUGUUUCAUGUCUGUACGACAUUCCUAACGGAAGUUACAAGCAGUCUGUUUUUUUUUGCUUCCUAGGGAAAAUACGGUACUUAACAAAAAAAAGGUGAAAUAACUGAAAACAUGUUAUGCGGACGCUGUAUCCAUCCGUUGUGGUGAAGAAGGAGCUGAGCCGGAAGGCAAAGCUCUCAAUUUAUCGGUCGAUCUACGUUCCCAUCCUCACCUAUGGUCAUGAGCUUUGGGUCAUGACCGAAAGGAUAAGAUCACGGGUACAAGCGGACCAAAUGAGUUUCUGGAUAGGGUGAGAAGCUCUGUCAUCUGGGAGGAACUCAAAGUAAAGCCGCUGCUCCUCCACAUGGAGAGGAGCCAGAUGAGGUGGUUCGGACAUCUGGUCAGGAUGCCACCCGAACGCCUCUUUAGGGAGGUGUUUAGGGCACGUCCGACUGGUAGGAAAGACCCAGGACACGUUGGGAAGACUAUGUCUCCCGGCUGGCCUGGGAACACAUCGGAAUCCCCCGGGAAAAGUUGGAUGAAGUUGGGGUUGGGAGGGAGGGAAGUCUGUGCUCCCCUGCUUAGGCUGCGGCCCCCGCGACCCAACCUCGGGGGCAGCAGUUCCUUCCAAAUAGCCACCCUUUGCUCUGAUUAUUGCUUUGCACACUCUUGGCAUUCUCUGGAUGAUCUCCAAGAGGUAGUCACCUGAAAUGGUUUUCACUUCACAGGCGUGCUUGAAGCUGUUUUAACGCGUUUUCAGUUAUUAUUUUUUUUGUGAAGUACAUAAGUCCACAUGUUCCUUCAUAGUUUUGAUGCCUUCAGGGACAAUCUACAAUGUAAAUAGUCUUAAAAAUAUAGACAACGCAUUGAAUGAGGUGUUUAAACCUUUGGCCUGUAUUAUAUAUUCAUGAUGAAAACAAAACCAAUGUGACCAUGUGAUUAUUUAUUUCUGAUCAAAGUGAUUUCUAUUUAAUUCCUGGUGUUAAGCCUGUUUACUGCAAGAGUUCUAUGAUAACAGACAUCACAAUUAUUCUCUUUGUUUAGUUUUCUUCUCACUGGUGCCAUUGUCACUGUACCCUUUUUUUUUAAACUCUAUCAUACAUAUAUUUACUAAAUUACUUUUGUAGCAUAAUGGCUUUCCACAUCAGAAUGUAUUGGAUGGUAAUGAAAUGAUUUAUUUUGUUUUCUGGAAAGUUGCUAAAAAAAAAAAAGCACUUUUUUUUUUUUUUUUUUGUAAAAUUUUGCUUAAGAAAAUAUAUAUCACAGUUUUAUUUUACAGUAUAAGAUAUGAUGCAUGUUUAAGGAAAUUUUACUUAUUAUGAUUUAUCACAACAAUUAAGUGCUUUUCAUUAGUGGGCACUUAAUUAAUGUCUGGAAAUGGAUUUUAUCAUGUCAUUCAGUUGAGAUCAUAGGACUCACUGUACAUUUUGUCGGUGCUUGUAAGACCUCUUUUUUUUCUUUUUUUUUUACAGAAAGCACAAAGUGUUAUACAGUAUAUGCCAACAAAAAUGUUUUUAUAUACAGUGGGGCAAAAAAGUAUUUAGUCAGUGACCGAUUGUGCAAGUUCUCCCACUUAAAAUGAUGACAGAGUUCUGUAAUCUUCAUCAUAGGUACACUUCAACUGUGAGAGUGUGGAGGAAAAAAAAUAAAUCCAGGAAUUUUAAAGAAUUUAUUUGUAAAUGAUGGUAGAAAAUAAGUAUUUGGUCAACCAUUCAAAGCUCUUUUGGCACAAAAUCUCACGAUACAUGGCCCCAUUCAUUCUUUCCUUAACACGGAUCAAUCGUCCUGUCCCCUUAGCAGAAAAACAGCCCCAAAGCAUGAUGUUUCCACCCCCAUGCUUCACAGUAGGUAUGGUGUUCCUGGGAUGCAACUCAGUAUUCUUCUUCCUCCAAACACGACGAGUUGAGUUGAUACCAAAAUGGAUACAUGGAUGAUACAGCAGAGGAUUGGGAGAAUGUCAUGUGGUCAGAUGAAACCAAAAUAGAACUUUUUGGUAUAAACUCAACUGGUCGUGUUUGGAGGAAGAAGAAUACUGAGUUGCAUCCCAAGAACACCAUACCUACUGUGAAGCAUGGGGGUGGAAACAUCAUGCUUUGGGGCUGUUUUUCUGCUAAGGGGACAGGACGAUUGAUCCGUGUUAAGGAAAGAAUGAAUGGGGCCAUGUAUCGUGAGAUUUUGAGCCAAAACCUCCUUCCAUCAGUGAGAGCUUUGAAUGGUUGACCAAAUACUUAUUUUCCACCAUCAUUUACAAAUAAAUUCGUUAAAAUUCCUACAAUGUGAACUCCUGGAUUUUUUCCCCCACAUUCUGUCUCUCACAGUUGAAGUCAAUCAAUCAACGUUUAUUUAUAUAGCCCCAAAUCACAAAUGUCUCAAAGGACUGCACAAAUCAUUACGACUACAACAUCCUCGGAAGAACCCACAAAAGGGCAAGGAAAACUCACACCCAGUGGGCAGGGAGAAUUCACAUCCAGUGGGACGCCAGUGACAAUGCUGACUAUGAGAAACCUUGGAGAGGACCUCAGAUGUGGGCAACCCCCCCCCCCCUCUAGGGGACCGAAAGCAAUGGAUGUCGAGCGGGUCCAACAUGAUACUGUGAAAGUUCAAUCCAUAGUGGCUCCAACACAGCCGCGAGAGUUCAGUUCAAAGCGGAUCCAAGACAGCAGCGAGAGUCCCGUCCACAGGAAACCAUCUCAAGCGGAGGCGGGACAGCAGCGUAGAGAUGUCCCCAACCGAUACAGGCGAGCGGUCCAUCCUGGGUCCCGACGAGCGGUCCAUCAUUGGGAUGGUUUCCUGCUGGCUCCGCUGUGAACGGGACUCUCGCUGAUGUGUUGGAUCCAUUAUGGAUUGAACUUCCACAGUAUCAUGUUAGACCCGCUCGACAUCCAUUGCUUUCCUCCUCUCCAAGGUUCUCAUAGUCAUUAUUGUCACCGACGUCCCACUGGGUGUGAGUUUUCCUUGCCCUUAUGUGGGCCUACCGAGGAUGUCAUAGUGGUUUGGCCAGCCCUUUGAGACACUAGUGAUUUAGGGCUAUAUAAGUAAACAUUGAUUGAUUGAUCAUGGGUCUCGACUCUGGACAGCCAGUACUUCAUCCAUGGUUAUCGGACUGGACCCCCUCCACAAUGGAGGGGGGGACAUAGGAGAAAGAAAAGAAGCGGCAGAUCAACUGGUCUAAAAAGGGAGUCUAUUUAAAGGCUAGAGUAUACAAAUGAGUUUUAAGGUGAGACUUAAAUGCUUCUACUGAGGUAGCAUCUCGAACUGUUACCGGGAGGGCAUUCCAGAGUACUGGAGCCCGAACGGAAAACGCUCUAUAGCCCGCAGACUUUUUUUGGGCUCUAGGAAUCACUAAUAAGCCGGAGUCUUUUGAACGCAGAUUUCUUGCCGGGACAUAUGUGUACCUAUGAUGAAAAUUACAGACCUCUGUCAUCAUUUUCAGUGGGAGAACUUGCACAAUCCGUGGCUGACUAAAUACUUUUUUUGCCCCACUAUAACUCCCACACAAACAUGACCAUAGUUUAGCCUCAAAACCACUCCAUCAGUCAUUAGUUAUUAACAACAUGUUCUGUUGAAAGCAAUCAGGGGAUUUUGUUUUUUUUACUUUCUAUCCAAAACAUACCUUUCUUGAAAGUGAGGUGUCACACUUUCAGUGAUAUACCUUCCUCUCGGUGCUACAGUAACACUCAACCUAUGCUCGAAUGUGACGGUGCUCUUUAAAAACAAGUCACUACAACGAUUGAACAUUUGCGUCACCGGCAGUCCGUUGGAACGCCGCCGUGACCAACAUGCGAUCAUUUUUGUCGAUAUCCUUUUAUUGUCGCGGUGAAAUGCAAACCACGGUCCACAUCUAACGUCUUCCACAGUCAUCUCAGCAGGAAAAUCACAACUAAAUGAAUGUAAUCAUGUUUAAAAGCAGUGGAUUUUGAAUGAAAACCAACAAUUAUCAACACAUUUGGAUUUAUUGUAUUCAGCCCACAUGACAAAACUGUACAUAAAGUGUUUGUUUUUUAAUCAACCUGAAACUAUCACCAGCAUUGCAAAACCUGGGGAAAAAAAAACAUUUUUACUACUUAAAAUGUUGUAUAAAUAUGUAUGUGAACUAUAUGGUUUUUACUGUACUGUCUGUAGACAAUGGAUGCUCUUGCUUAUUUUGCAACUGAAUUACUGUACGUGGCUAAAAAAAAAAAUAUUAUCCAUUUUAGACUUGAGAAGAGACUAAAUUUUGCAUUCCUUUUACGGAUGUCUGAUCUCUUUCGGGAUUGUGAAAUAAAGUCAUAUUUAUAUUUUGGACUUUA
Molecule: long non-coding RNA, 10254 nt
Organism: Nerophis ophidion (straightnose pipefish)
Lineage: Eukaryota; Metazoa; Chordata; Actinopteri; Syngnathiformes; Syngnathidae
Exons: 2
Source: RefSeq, a predicted model, not a curated record